Molecule: ribosomal RNA, 426 nt
Filed under: uncultured beta proteobacterium
Lineage: Bacteria; Pseudomonadati; Pseudomonadota; Betaproteobacteria
Description: bacterial SSU rRNA
Rfam family: Bacterial small subunit ribosomal RNA
Source: RNAcentral
GGGGAAUUUUGGACAAUGGGGGAAACCCUGAUCCAGCCAUCCCGCGUGUGCGAUGAAGGCCUUCGGGUUGUAAAGCACUUUUGGCAGCAAAGAAACGUCGCGGGUUAAUACCCUGCGACACUGACGGUACCUGCAGAAUAAGCACCGGCUACCUACGUGCCAGCAGCCGCGGUAAUACGUAGGGUGCAAGCGUUAAUCGGAAUUACUGGGCGUAAAGCGUGCGCAGGCGGUUCGGAAAGACAGGCGUGAAAUCCCCGGGCUCAACCUGGGAACUGCGCUUGUGACUGCAAGACUAGAGUACGGCAGAGGGGGGUGGAAUUCCACGUGUAGCAGUGAAAUGCGUAGAGAUGUGGAGGAACACCAAUGGCGAAGGCAGCCCCCUGGGUCGAUACUGACGCUCAUGCACGAAAGCGUGGGGAGCAAACA